GGUGACAUUUGCAGUUGUUGCAAUUUUGAGAUGACAAGAUCAUAAGUAAGAUCUUAUUGUCAUGCAUAGAUGCUGAAGUUUUGGAUACUUUUGGGUUCAUAGAAAUGUUAUCCAACAUAAAGGAAAGUGCCACUCUUCCUCUCCAUUGAAAUGGUGUUCACCAUGGAAGGAAAGCUCCUCUCAUCAAUUAGUUUUUGGUUUGCCAAUGCCAUAACAAGUUAAGCGCUUGAGAAGUAGUUCGGGUACGCAUCCUAACUCUCAUUUACUGUGAUUUGGGGGCAAGAAAAAAACGAUCGGGAAAACCAAAGAGAAGAGAAAAGAG
Long non-coding RNA from Vitis vinifera (wine grape), 322 nucleotides. RefSeq lists it as uncharacterized. The record is from RefSeq and is a predicted model, not a curated record. The transcript is spliced from 3 exons. Lineage: Eukaryota; Viridiplantae; Streptophyta; Magnoliopsida; Vitales; Vitaceae.